This 91-nucleotide transfer RNA is filed under the name bacterium. RNAcentral describes it as "tRNA-Ser". It matches the Rfam family "tRNA". From Rfam's summary of the family: Transfer RNA (tRNA) molecules are approximately 80 nucleotides in length. RNAcentral also lists the same sequence under 1 other name. The record is from RNAcentral.
GGUGAGGUGGCCGAGCGGUUGAAGGCGCACGCCUGGAAAGCGUGUGUACGUUAAUAGCGUACCGAGGGUUCGAAUCCCUCUCUCACCGCCA